Molecule: ribosomal RNA, 449 nt
Filed under: uncultured bacterium
Lineage: Bacteria
Description: bacterial SSU rRNA
Rfam family: Bacterial small subunit ribosomal RNA
Source: RNAcentral
GUGGGGAAUUUUGGACAAUGGGGGCAACCCUGAUCCAGCCAUGCCGCGUGCGGGAAGAAGGCCUUCGGGUUGUAAACCGCUUUUGUCAGGGAAGAAAUCCUUUGGGUUAAUACCUCGGAGGGAUGACGGUACCUGAAGAAUAAGCACCGGCUAACUACGUGCCAGCAGCCGCGGUAAUACGUAGGGUGCGAGCGUUAAUCGGAAUUACUGGGCGUAAAGCGUGCGCAGGCGGUUUUGUAAGACAGUGGUGAAAUCCCCGGGCUCAACCUGGGAAGUGCCAUUGUGACUGCAGGGCUAGAGUGCGGCAGAGGGGGAUGGAAUUCCGCGUGUAGCAGUGAAAUGCGUAGAUAUGCUACGGAACACCGAUUGCGAAGGCAGCUUACUAUUUCGUAAUUGACGCUGAGGCACGAAAGCGUGGGUAGCGAACAGGAUUAGAUACCCUGGUAUCC